AAACAGAGCCCUGCUUUAGCUGGCUGAAUCCGGGCCAAAUUGUUAUUCAUAGAGCAGCAUUUGGUCCCCUUCAACCAGCUGUAGUUGGCAUUCUGAGCAAC
Molecule: microRNA precursor, 101 nt
Filed under: Daphnia pulex (common water flea)
Lineage: Eukaryota; Metazoa; Arthropoda; Branchiopoda; Diplostraca; Daphniidae
Description: microRNA dpu-mir-133 precursor
Gene: dpu-mir-133
Rfam family: mir-133 microRNA precursor family (bases 11-87)
About the family: mir-133 was first experimentally characterised in mouse and homologues have since been discovered in several other species. The mature sequence is excised from the 3' arm of the hairpin.
Source: miRBase by way of RNAcentral